GACGAACGCUGGCGGCGUGCUUAACACAUGCAAGUCGAACGGAAAGGCCCUGCUUUUGUGGGGUGCUCGAGUGGCGAACGGGUGAGUAACACGUGAGUAACCUGCCCUUGACUUUGGGAUAACUUCAGGAAACUGGGGCUAAUACCGGAUAGGAGCUCCUGCUGCAUGGUGGGGGUUGGAAAGUUUCGGCGGUUGGGGAUGGACUCGCGGCUUAUCAGCUUGUUGGUGGGGUAGUGGCUUACCAAGGCUUUGACGGGUAGCCGGCCUGAGAGGGUGACCGGCCACAUUGGGACUGAGAUACGGCCCAGACUCCUACGGGAGGCAGCAGUGGGGAAUAUUGCACAAUGGGCGGAAGCCGAAUGCAGCAACGCCGCGUGCGGGAUGACGACCUUCGGGUUGUAAACCGCUUUCGCCUGUAACGAAGCGUGAGUGAUGGUAAUGGGUAAAGAAGCACCGGCUAACUACGUG
RNAcentral lists this ribosomal RNA (468 nucleotides) under uncultured bacterium. RNAcentral's name for it is "partial 16S ribosomal RNA". It matches the Rfam family "Bacterial small subunit ribosomal RNA", at positions 28 to 507 of the family's 1533-position model. The record is from RNAcentral.